CUAUAUGUUGUAAAUUGUUCACAUGUUUAUAACUGGAUUAACUGUAAAAGUUAGAGAGAAAAAAACAGAAUCAGAUAAAACAAAUGAUGUCUACAAAACAACAGUUUGCGUCGGUUAUGAGACAUAUUGAUAAACUUGAUACAGUUAUAAUUCAUCAGAAACGUGAGUACUUGAUAUAUUUAUAUAUAUUACUUCUUCAUACCAUUUAUUCUAUUGAGAAAUUAUGCAGGUAUAGUUUACACGAGUUUGAAAUCUAAAUUUCUCAAGCUAAAUAUACCAAAAAAACAAUUGUUACCGGCGGGAUAUUACCCGCAACUUUAAUGUUUACUAUUGAGAUUACUGGAAAAUGGUUAUAAAUAAGCUAUUGCACAAGGAAGAACAUUUGAUUGCAUAUACUCUUCACAUAUCUUUGGGGCUAUUUAUUAACCUAAUUGAUUCCGACCCCUUUUUUAAGUAUUUGCCCUUAAAUGAAGAUUUUCACAAAAAAAAAUCUAUUUACCUUAAAUGGUAAAAAUCAUAACAGAUAAUUAAAUCACUAAAUAAUAAACAAGACAAGAUCAACUAACAAGUAAAUUUUUGUCGAUAUAGUUAGUACGCUAUAUACUGUUCUUCAUAGGAGUGAUGUGUGGUUUUUUUCCCCAUUGUGGUUGACGUAAAAACUUAUGAAGAGAGAUAGAGGCUAAAAGGAUUUUAAUUAUCCUCAAUACAACAUUAUAAAAACAGAGAAUUUUGAGUUGUAUUCCUAUCUACAAUAUCAGAGAGGGUCAUCUAUUGAAUAUGUAAUUAGGCAAUUGUGAUUGACACGUGCUCUAUAAAGCCUCUAUUUGAUUUUAUCUUUGAGUUCGGAAUUUUUUUCUUUUUUGACUGAAAAUUAGUAAGCAGCUUGUUAGUGAUCGGUUGUCAAUUAUUGUAAUGUGUUGAAAAUUUUAAAUGACAACGGGUUAAUUCUUGUUUUAUAAUGCCCUUUUUGCCAACGAGAGAAAUUUUAAUAUAUUUCGCCUCUAUCUUUAAGAAGGGACGGAAGAUAUCAGAGGGAGAGUCAAACUCAAAGAAUCAGGAUAAGAAAAUUUGUUAUCAUUUCGUUUGAUGUAUUUGAGCUUUUGAGUUUGCAAUUUGCUUAAUGACUUUCCAUUAAGACAUUUCCUCAAAGGUUUUUUUUGUUGGACUUUUUCCUUAAUAAUGUCGACUAUUGGAAUGUGUACAUGUACAAUGUAUGAUUUUAUGAAAGAGAUCACCGCAUAUAAAUUCUGUUUAACGUAAAUGUAUGUAUCUAAUUGAAAUGUAGCGCAAUCCGUAUUACAUAAUCAAAUUAUAAGUAAAUUUACGUACUCGCCUUUUUAUGCUCUGUUGACGCCACCAAAAAAUAACAAAAUGAACGGUUUUGGAAAAUUCGAUUUUGAUUAAAUUGUGAGGUAAGCAAAAGCAAUAUGUUUAAUAUUUUUAAUAUAUAUUCCAAGAUUAUAGACGUAAAAAGUGGAAAUAAAAUAGCAGUUAUCAAACAACGCGAGAUUGUUUCAGACAUGUUGUCGUUUAAA
RNAcentral lists this long non-coding RNA (1535 nucleotides) under Mytilus galloprovincialis (Mediterranean mussel). Lineage: Eukaryota; Metazoa; Mollusca; Bivalvia; Mytilida; Mytilidae. The record is from RNAcentral.